UGAGGAAUAUUGGUCAAUGGGCGCAAGCCUGAACCAGCCAUGCCGCGUGCAGGAAGACGGCCCUAUGGGUUGUAAACUGCUUUUUCACGAGAAGAACGGCCUGAACGUGUUCGGGUGUGACGGUAUCGUGAGAAUAAGCAUCGGCUAACUCCGUGCCAGCAGCCGCGGUAAUACGGAGGAUGCAAGCGUUAUCCGGAUUUAUUGGGUUUAAAGGGUGCGUAGGCGGGGUUGUAAGUCAGUGGUGAAAUCCUGCAGCUUAACUGUAGAAUUGCCGUUGAUACUGCUACCCUUGAAUGCAGUUGAGGUAGGCGGAAUGUGUAAUGUAGCGGUGAAAUGCUUAGAUAUUACACAGAACACCGAUUGCGUAGGCAGCUUACUAAACUGUGAUUGACGCUGAGGCACGAAAGCGUGGGGAUCAAACAGGAUUAGAUACCCCCGUAGUCC
This 444-nucleotide ribosomal RNA is filed under the name uncultured prokaryote. RNAcentral describes it as "bacterial SSU rRNA". It matches the Rfam family "Bacterial small subunit ribosomal RNA", at positions 355 to 796 of the family's 1533-position model. The record is from RNAcentral.